CGGGGGGGAGGGGCGGCGAGGCGAGGCCUGCGGAGCGGAGGAAGACAAACAUAAAGAUGAAGUGCUUAAUUCAAGGUCACACAAUGUCGGGGAUGGACCUCCAGAUUUCCUUACUGGUGAGACGUGGUCUUGUAACACAGUGGUUAAGAAUGUGACUUUGGAGCCAGCCUGCUAGGGGCUGAAUUCUGACUCAGCCAUUUACUAACUGUGUGACCUUAGGGAGGAGGACCUGGUUGAUAGAAGAAUUUAUCUCGUAGUCUUAACAUCCACUGUAAUUCCAAACUUUGAGGACGAUAGAGAUCAGUGGGCUUUGACUGCCCAGCAUGCAGUCUCCAUUCUUAGGUGGGUUCCCAAGCCUGUAAAAUGUAAGCCUUAUGCUGCUGAGGGCCAUCUUGCCACCCUGAGGGAAACGCUGCCUGAGAAUGAAACAAGCAUAAGUAAAAGCUGAGCUGUGAGAUGGAGCAAGAUGAAGGCCACAUGACAUCUUUGGAGCACCUGGAUCUAACUGUGCCUUAAGCUAGUCUAACCCUGAACAUUUCAUCAUUUCAUUGACAUGAGCCCAGGUUUUCUUUUUUUUUGGAUGGAGUCUUGCUCUGUCGCCCAGGCUGGAGUGCAGUAGCUCAAUCUCGGCUCACUGCAAGCUCCACCUCCCGGGUUCACGCCAUUCUCCUGCCUUAGCCUCCCAAGUAGCUGGGACAACAGGCGCCCACCACCACUCCCAGCUAAUUUUUUGUAUUUUUAGUAGAGACGGGGUUUUACCAUGUUAGCCGGGAUGGUCUUGAUCUCCUGACCUCAUGAUCCGCCCGCCUCGGCCUCCCAAAGUGCUGGGAUUACAGGUGUGAGCCACUGCACCCAGCCCUCAGGUUUUCCCUUUUUUUACCCCUCCUUUUGAAAAUUUGAUGUGGAAUUUUGCCACCUGCAGCCAGAAGAGUUUUAACUAAUCAGUGCCAUAAAUUUUAUAUAGUUCUCCUUGCAAAAUGUGGAUCAGCCUUUCUCAGCAAAUCCUUUGUCAUAAAGUGCUGAAUUGUAAGUUUGUCAUGAGAAUCACAUGAGAUCAUGCAUGUGAAGAACCUGGCAUUAUCCUCCUCAUAGAAAAAAACCAGUAAAUAUUAACUACAGGAAGCAAGGAAGGAGUGGGGUGAGGGGAAGAAGAAGGGGUACUGAUUUAAAAGAACCCUGGAGUCCUAAGGAUAAUCUAGGAACCCUCAGACCCAAUCCGAUACCCCUAUUCUAAAUGCUCCUAGUGCCCUGUACCUUCCCCUCAUAAGCCUUCAUUAUCAUUGUAAUGAUAUGUUUAUGUAAUAUUUUGAUUAAUGUCUCUCCUUCACUGACCUAGCAGUUCUAGCAGGGCAGUGAUUUUGCUGUGUUGCAUCCCCAGCACCUAGUCUGGUAUGUGGCAUUCAGCAUAUGUUUAUUGAAUGAAUGGCCAUGUGGUUAUUCAGAUCCUCCUUGAUUAUUGGGGUUAGGAUUGUGGCAGAAGUGGCAAAAUCAGGGAGAGUAGUCCCUGUCCCCUCUGUAUCUUAUACACUGCCCACACUCCCAACACACAUACACAUACAGAGAAUUUUGUCUCAAUUAGAUAAUUAACUUCUGCUUGGUUGUAAACCAAACCACUGGUUCUUAAACUUUCAUUGGAUCAUUUUAUUGAAGAAUUAAAUAGUGUGGUUCUGGCCUAAUGUCUGGAAAGCCUUGCAGAGGAGUGGAUUAGGUCUUUGUGAUAAACAGGCAGCCUUCCCUGCUCCUGUGUCUUUAUAAAAUCUAUUUAACUGGAGUAGUCCACCCUCCCUCAGGCUCUUACAGGAAUAUGUUGGAGGCUGUAGGAAGGUGGGAAACCGAGAGGGAAAGGACUGGGCCGCUGGAGACUUCACUCAUUCCCUAGCAAGAAACAAAAGCAGUAAAAGGUGGCCCGAGGACAACCUGAAGCUCACUCCUUCAGCACUUUUGGCUGGAGGUCACUUGUUGGAGCCCCACUCAGAGCUCAGCACACCACCCCACCAGCAGCCUCCUCCUCCCAGCUGAGGCUGCAUUUCAUCCCUUCCCCCAGCCUGCUUUCCCUGAGAUAGGGGAGUGUUUCCCAGGGCCCAUGUGACUUCCACUGGCAAGUGACGAUUACCAAUGGUUUACUAGUCAGUGAAACUACCAAAGGCUUUUGUGCUGUAGUAAUCCUUUUCCUGUUUAAAACUCUGGGGAUUUUCUAAUGUUGCCAAUAGUUUUUCAAGUCAGCAAUUACUGUGUGGAUUAUGUAAUGGCUCGGUAUUAAAAAUAGAAAAGACUGGA
Molecule: long non-coding RNA, 2277 nt
Filed under: Homo sapiens (human)
Lineage: Eukaryota; Metazoa; Chordata; Mammalia; Primates; Hominidae
Description: PCBP1 antisense RNA 1, transcript variant 6 (PCBP1-AS1)
Source: RNAcentral